RNAcentral lists this long non-coding RNA (1263 nucleotides) under Diuraphis noxia (Russian wheat aphid). RNAcentral describes it as "uncharacterized LOC107168452, transcript variant X2". The record is from RNAcentral. Lineage: Eukaryota; Metazoa; Arthropoda; Insecta; Hemiptera; Aphididae.
CUGUGGUAUGCGCGCGCGGUCUGCUUCCGCCGCAGAGGGAUAGGCUAUAGCCGUGGCCACUUUAUGGUAGGAAGAGUUUCCGACGCUGCUUAAUGGUUUUUCUUAUGCAAUUACCGCGAUUUGACUUGUUCAUUAUCAUCGAAAUUCAAAUGCUUCCCAACGGCNUAGUACACAGAAUUUAAUGUGUUGUAGAUUUUAACAAUUAACGAUAAAACUUAUAAAAAGACUACAUGGAAGUCAUUACCAUAAGCGACCUGGAAGUAUUUCGAUGAAGAGAGCUUCGCCACCACACCCACAUAAUUUUAAUGAACAAGAAGUUUACAAUAAUUUUUUUCCGCAACUAUAUAUGCAGAGGUAUUUCAGCCGGAACGCCAUGUUUAAUUGUCUGCUGUUCCAUUGUGACGAGAAAUAAUUAACCAAUUGAAUCUGUCGAGAGAUACAACAAUAUAAAAUUUUCUCGACCACUCUGGUUUAUUUAUUAAACGCUUUGUAGGAGGAAAUGGAUUUUGCACCGCCGAUUUACCAAAAAUCGAACCCAAGGCACAGAGCACUUCUAAUGGGGAUUCUAUGUUAUAAAGAUAACAAAGUAAACUCAAUGAAAGUUUUCCAUAGAAUAUCAUGUGCGACGUAUUAUUAUUUAUUUUAUCGAUUUACUCUUUUUCAUCAUAUUUACUCUUUUUCAUCAUAUCAUAUUCGUAUAUGGUAUAUAUAUUUUUAUAUCCAAUACCAACGAAUAACAAUUCGUAUUGCAAUAGAUCACACUACCCUGCCAGUGCUUAAGGAUCAUAACUCAAAAAACUUGAAUCUUCUUUUUUUGUAAGGAAAUAGUUGAUUGAAUNGUAUAUUCAAUAUUUAUAUCCGUUAGAAAUAAAACUAUGAUGUUUAAUUAAAUAAAUCAGUAAUCGUUGUUUGUAUAAUCACCACACCGAUUGUCUUAAUGUAAUGUAAAAAUGGUUUAUUUAUAUACAUAAUUAAUUUUGUUAUUUAUCGGGUUGUUUAUUUAUUUUUAAUAUGCGGGACACACGUCGGACAUACACAAUUUCAAAUUUUUAUUUAUUGUGUCCAACUACGGUCUAUAUAUUGUUCUUUAAGUGGAUACAUCUUACCAACAAUAAAUAUUUAUGAUAUAAAGGAGGAUGGAAUGAAAGAUUAGUACUCUCCUAAUAAAUAAUAAUAUGAACUCGAUCGGAUCCACGCCAAUAAUAAUAAUAUUGUUAUACAAUAAUAUGAUAAUAUAUAAUAAUGAACGUGUUUCGUAUAUAC